RNAcentral lists this ribosomal RNA (254 nucleotides) under uncultured bacterium. RNAcentral describes it as "partial 16S ribosomal RNA". It matches the Rfam family "Bacterial small subunit ribosomal RNA", at positions 524 to 776 of the family's 1533-position model. The record is from RNAcentral.
UACGUAGGAGGCGGGCGUUGUCCGGAAUUACUGGGCGUAAAGAGCGCGUAGGCGGCGCGGUACGACCGCUGUGAAAGCCCCCAGCUCAACUGGGGAGGGUCAGCGGUAACGGCCGUGCUAUGAGUGCAGGAGAGGGAAGUGGAACUCCGGGAGUAGCGGUGAAAUGCGUAGAGACCCGGAGGAACACCAGUGGCGAAGGCGGCUUCCUGGUCUGCGACUGACGCUGUGGCGCGAAAGCUAGGGGAGCAAACGGG